UGGGGAAUUUUCCGCAAUGGGGGCAACCCUGACGGAGCAACGCCGCGUGGGGGAGGAAUGUCUGUGGAUUGUAAACCCCUUUUCUCAGGGAAGAAGUUCUGACGGUACCUGAGGAAUCAGCAUCGGCUAACUCCGUGCCAGCAGCCGCGGUAAGACGGAGGAUGCAAGCGUUAUCCGGAAUUAUUGGGCGUAAAGCGUCCGUAGGCGGUUUUUCAAGUCUGCCGUUAAAGACCACAGCUUAACUGUGGGCCGGUGGUGGAAACUGUUGAACUGGAGUACGGUAGGGGUAGAGGGAAUUCCCAGUGUAGCGGUGAAAUGCGUAGAUAUUGGGAAGAACACCAGUGGCGAAGGCGCUCUACUGGGCCGUAACUGACGCUGAGGCGCGAAAGCGUGGGGAGCAAACAGGAUUAGAUACCCCGGUAGUCC
This 426-nucleotide ribosomal RNA is filed under the name uncultured prokaryote. RNAcentral's name for it is "bacterial SSU rRNA". It matches the Rfam family "Bacterial small subunit ribosomal RNA", at positions 355 to 796 of the family's 1533-position model. The record is from RNAcentral.